RNAcentral lists this non-coding RNA (89 nucleotides) under Thermosediminibacter oceani. RNAcentral describes it as "c-di-GMP sequence". It matches the Rfam family "c-di-GMP-I riboswitch aptamer". From Rfam's summary of the family: GEMM was predicted in a large-scale screen for bacterial structured RNA regulatory elements. Genes associated with GEMM are involved in a diverse array of functions, including chemotaxis regulation, signal transduction, secretion and chitin. RNAcentral also lists the same sequence under 1 other name. Lineage: Bacteria; Bacillati; Bacillota; Clostridia; Thermosediminibacterales; Thermosediminibacteraceae. The record is from RNAcentral.
CAGAGAAAAGGGUAAACUCAAUGAAAGGUAGGGGUGCAAAAGCCAUAGGGUCUAAGGUGCAUUUACAUUAUAACAGCAUGGCUGCCGCU